RNAcentral lists this ribosomal RNA (461 nucleotides) under uncultured bacterium. RNAcentral describes it as "bacterial SSU rRNA". It matches the Rfam family "Bacterial small subunit ribosomal RNA", at positions 329 to 788 of the family's 1533-position model. The record is from RNAcentral.
GACCAGACUCCUACGGGAGGCAGCAGUGAGGAAUAUUGGUCAAUGGCCGAGAGGCUGAACCAGCCAAGUCGCGUGAGGGAAGACGGCCCUACGGGUUGUAAACCUCUUUUGUCGGGGAGCAAAGCGAGUCACGUGUGACUCAUUGAGAGUACCCGAAGAAAAAGCAUCGGCUAACUCCGUGCCAGCAGCCGCGGUAAUACGGAGGAUGCGAGCGUUAUCCGGAUUUAUUGGGUUUAAAGGGUGCGUAGGCGGAUUUUUAAGUCAGCGGUAAAAGGUCCGGGCUCAACCCGGGCCGGCCGUUGAAACUGGGGAUCUUGAGUGGGCGAGAAGUAUGCGGAAUGCGUGGUGUAGCGGUGAAAUGCAUAGAUAUCACGCAGAACUCCGAUUGCGAAGGCAGCAUACCGGCGCCCGACUGACGCUGAGGCACGAAAGCGUGGGGAUCGAACAGGAUUAGAGACCCU